Molecule: long non-coding RNA, 461 nt
Organism: Canis lupus familiaris (dog)
Lineage: Eukaryota; Metazoa; Chordata; Mammalia; Carnivora; Canidae
Exons: 3
Source: RefSeq, a predicted model, not a curated record
UCCGGAAACUGAGGCGCUGGGCCUAAGCUGGCCUGACGUCCCACGGCUGCCCAGGGCGGGGCCACAGGCCUGUGAAGCAGGGCUGUCUCUGCCAGGCGAGGCGACCAGCACCUACCACAGCACCACGAAAACGGCUCAGUGAAGUGACUCCUCCGUGGCACGCCUGCUUGCAACCCAGAGGACACUGAUGAUGAUGGCCACAGAUGCAUUCCCUCCACACUUCCCAAGUGUAUGCACCCGUGAGUGGCAGGGAGCACCCAAGGGGACGGAGAUGGUCUCAGGAGACCACGCCAUCAACGCCACGAGCCUGGGCGCCACGACAGGGAGGAGUCAAUGGGAGCACCCGGGCGGCUCAACGGUUGAGCACCUGCUUUCAACUCAGGGCGUGAUCCCAGGGUCCCGGGAUCAAGUCCCACAUCGGGCUCCCCACAGGGGAGCCUGCUUCUCCCUCUGCCUGUGUC